Molecule: unclassified non-coding RNA, 380 nt
Filed under: uncultured bacterium
Lineage: Bacteria
Description: contains 16S-23S intergenic spacer region
Source: RNAcentral
UCCGGUUUGUCACCGGCAGUCUCGCAUGAGUCCCCGGCGUUACCGCUGGCAACAUGCGACAGGGGUUGCGCUCGUUGCGCCACUUAAGGCAACACCUCACGACACGAGCUGACGACAGCCAUGCAGCACCUGUGUCCACGCCCCUUGCGGGGAGGAACCCGUCUCCGGGAACCGUCGUGGCAUGUCAAGGGCUGGUAAGGUUCUGCGCGUUGCUUCGAAUUAAACCACAUGCUCCACCGCUUGUGCGGGCCCCCGUCAAUUCCUUUGAGUUUCAGUCUUGCGACCGUACUCCCCAGGCGGAGUGCUUAAUGCGUUUGCUGCAGCACUAAAGGGCGGAAACCCUCUAACACUUAGCACUCAUCGUUUACGGCGUGGACUAC